RNAcentral lists this ribosomal RNA (465 nucleotides) under uncultured bacterium. RNAcentral's name for it is "bacterial SSU rRNA". It matches the Rfam family "Bacterial small subunit ribosomal RNA", at positions 198 to 644 of the family's 1533-position model. The record is from RNAcentral.
GGAGGAAAGUAGGGGAUCGCAAGACCUUGCGCUUUUGGAGCGGCCGAUGCCUGAUUAGCUUGUUGGUGAGGUAAAAGCUCACCAAGGCUCCGAUCAGUAGCUGGUCUGAGAGGACGACCAGCCACACUGGGACUGAGACACGGCCCAGACUCCUACGGGAGGCAGCAGUGGGGAAUUUUGGACAAUGGGGGCAACCCUGAUCCAGCCAUGCCGCGUGAGUGAAGAAGGCCUUCGGGUUGUAAAGCUCUUUCAGCCGGAACGAAACGGUCACGGUUAAUACCCGUGACUACUGACGGUACCGGAAGAAGAAGCACCGGCUAACUACGUGCCAGCAGCCGCGGUAAUACGUAGGGUGCGAGCGUUAAUCGGAAUUACUGGGCGUAAAGCGUGCGCAGGCGGUUUUGUAAGUCAGAUGUGAAAUCCCCGGGCUUAACCUGGGAACUGCGUUUGAAACUACAAAGCUAG